CUUAAAGGAUCACUAAAAGAUGAGCCUGCGGCGCAUUAGCUAGAUGGUGGGGUAAAGGCCUACCAUGGCGACGAUGCGUAGCCGGACUGAGAGGUCGAUCGGCCACAUUGGGACUGAGACACGGCCCAAACUCCUACGGGAGACAGCAGUUAGGAAUAUUCGUCAAUUGAGGAAACUCUGAACGAGCAAUGCCGCGUGAAUGAUGACAGUCUUUGGAUUUGUAAAGUUCUGUUGUUGGGGAAGAAUGUGUUAUAUAGGAAAUGAUAUAACAGUGACGGUACCCCUUCAAGAAAGCUCCGGCUAACUACGUGCCAGCAGCCGCGGUAAUACGUAGGGAGCAAGCGUUAUCCGAAUUUAUUGGGUGUAAAGGGUGUGUAGCGGUUUAAUAAGUUUAAGGUCUAAUUUCGAGGCUUAACUCGAACUGCCUUAAAAACUGUCUAACUUGAGUAUGGUAGAGGCAAGUGGAAUUUCUAGUGUAGCGGUAAAAUGCUUAGAUAUUAGAAGGAACACCAGUGGCGAARGCGACUUGCUGGGCCAUUACUGACGCUGAGACACGAAAGCGUGGGGAGCAAAUAGGAUUAGAUACCCUAGUAGUCCACGCCGUAAACGAUGAAUACUAAGUAUCGGAAUUUUCGGUGCUGAAGUUAACACAUUAAGUAUUCCACCUGAGUAGUACGGUCGCAAGGCUGAAACUUAAAGGAAUUGACGGGCACCCGCACAAGCGGUGGAGCAUGCUGUUUAAUUCGAUGAUACGCGAAGAACCUUACCUGGGCUUGACAUCCCAAUGACCGGUCUAGAGACAGACCUUUCUCUUCGGAGACAGUGGUGACAGAUGGUGCAUGGUUGUCGUCAGCUCGUGUCGUGAGAUGUUCGGUUAAGUCCGACAACGAGCGAAACCCCUGUUCUUAAUUGCUAACAUUUAGUUGAGAACCUUAAGGAGACUGCCGGUGAUAAACCGGAGGAAGGUGGGGAUGAUGUCAAAUCAUCAUGCCUCUUACGUCCAGGGCAACAGGCGUGCUACAAUGGCUAUUACAAUGAGAUGCAAUAUGGUGACAUGGAGCAAAUCUAGAAAGAUAGUCUCAGUCCGGAUUGAAGUCUGCGACUCGACUUCAUGAAGCUGGAAUCGCUAGUAAUCCCAGAUCAGAAUGCUGGGGUGAAUACGUUCCCGGGUGUUGUACACACCGCCCGUCAAGGCAUGGGAGUCAAUAAUACCCGAAGUCAUUAGCCUAACCCGU
RNAcentral lists this ribosomal RNA (1235 nucleotides) under uncultured bacterium. RNAcentral's name for it is "bacterial SSU rRNA". It matches the Rfam family "Bacterial small subunit ribosomal RNA", at positions 200 to 1443 of the family's 1533-position model. The record is from RNAcentral.